ACCGGCAGCUCAAGUGGUGGCCAUUUUUAUUGGCCCAAAACGGUCGGUAGCCGGUUGGAAAAGCUCUGGGGAAAACCCGCAGCCUAAACGUGGGACUUGGUGGAGAUACUAUUAGACUUGAGGUCGGGAGAGGUUAGGGGUACCCCCAGGGUAGGGGUGAAAUCCUAUAAUCCUGGGAGGACCACCUGUGGCGAAGGCGCCUAACUGGAACGAACCUGACGGUGAGUAACGAAAGCCAGGGGCGCGAACCG
This 251-nucleotide ribosomal RNA is filed under the name uncultured prokaryote. Its description in RNAcentral is "partial 16S rRNA". It matches the Rfam family "Archaeal small subunit ribosomal RNA", at positions 475 to 726 of the family's 1478-position model. The record is from RNAcentral.